GACGAACGCUGGCGGCGUGCUUAACACAUGCAAGUCGAACGGAAAGGCCCUGCUUUUGUGGGGUGCUCGAGUGGCGAACGGGUGCGUAACACGUGAGUAACCUGCCCUUGACUUUGGGAUAACUUCAGGUAACUGGGGCUACUACCGUAUAGGAGCUCCUGCUGCAUGGUGGGGGUUGGAAAGUUUCGGCGGUUGGGGUUGGAUGCGCGGCUUAUCAGCUUGUUGGUGGGGUAGUGGCUUACCAAGGCUUUGACGGGUAGCCGGCCUGGGAGGGUGGCCGGCCACAUGAGUACUGAGAGACGGCGCAGAGGGCUACAGGAGACAGCAGGGGGGAAUAUUGCACAGUGGGACGAAGCCUGAUGCAGCGACGCCGCGGUCGGGAUGACGGCCUGCGGGUUAUGAACAGCUUUCGCCUAUUACGAAGCGGGAGUGACGGUAAUGAGUGAAGAAGCACCGGCUAACUACGUG
RNAcentral lists this ribosomal RNA (468 nucleotides) under uncultured bacterium. RNAcentral's name for it is "partial 16S ribosomal RNA". It matches the Rfam family "Bacterial small subunit ribosomal RNA", at positions 28 to 507 of the family's 1533-position model. The record is from RNAcentral.